Molecule: long non-coding RNA, 348 nt
Filed under: Manihot esculenta (cassava)
Lineage: Eukaryota; Viridiplantae; Streptophyta; Magnoliopsida; Malpighiales; Euphorbiaceae
Description: long non-coding RNA (MESC_LNC011456)
Source: RNAcentral
UUAGUCCAGAGUCAGCCAGAGGUGAGUAGAACAGAACUUCUUUUAUUUUCAACGCAAUGAAAUCUUUUUAGCAUGAUCCAUGCAUCAGGAAUGCCAUGAUAUGUAUUAGGUUAUUUUGCAUUAGAAUUCAUGAAUAUGAUGCAUUGCAUUAAUUAUUGUUGAUGUGGAUGGUUAUUGGAUGAUCCAUUAGUCCUCGAUAUGAUAUGAUGUGAUACGGAAAGACCAGGGCUGCCCAUUCUACGCCCCUAGCACAGAGUAAGGGAAAGACCAGGGUUGCCCAUUCUACGCCCCUGGCAUAAUUGGACAUGUUAUGUUAUGUUUAAGAGGAAGUCCUGAGGAGCUCCGUCG